AAUUAUUAUGAGAAAAAAAACUAUUAGAUAAUAGUAUAUUAAAUAUUUUUAGUUUUGUAUUUUGCAUGCAUUAUUGGCAUGGAUAUUAGGCUGUGUUAAUUCCAGACUUUCAGUUCUGGUACUCGUAAUUCGUAUUAAUUAAUAAUUGUGUACCUACACGAUCGUGCUUGUAAAUUUUAAUAUUACGUUUGCAUUAAACUCAUAUGUGAUAAUUAUAGUCUUGUGUCGCUGUCGUAAGUUUUAUUUUCAAAGAUUUGUAAAUAUCCUACUUUCGUUGUCAUAAAAUAAAUUCCGUCGAUCAAUAAAAGUAAUAUAACAUCAACAUAAAACUAAUAUUACUACAAAAUCGCCAGCUUUUAUGAAAACAAGGAAACGGUAGUCCGUUUAAAAUUGUACAUAGGAUUGUCGCGUUUUCUGAGACAUGUCUGUCAAGUAUGUGUUGGUGUCUGACGAAGAAUAUGGUGAAGCGGUUGAACUUCCACUUGAAGACAAUGGUACGUUAUUGUUGUCCACAUUAACAGCCCAGUUUCCGGGGGCUAGUGGACUAAAGUUUCGUACUGAAAACAACGUUGUCAGAGGUGUUCGUUUAGCUGACGGCCGAUUCCAUGUGCCUGACAACGAAUGGGGAAAGACGCCUUACUACUGUGUUUUCCCAAAAGUGGAAAAUAAGAGAAAGAUUGAUGAUAGUGUAGAAAAUCCAACAGCUAAAACUAAGAGAUUAGAAACAAAAUUGAAAUGUUCAGAUUUAGUUGUCUUAAAUAUACCAUACACUUAUGAUGAACAAAAAUUGAAAGAAUACUUUGGUCAAUUUGGAGAACUUCUUAUGUUACAGAUAAAGAGAGAUAAAAAUGGACAAUCUCGGGGAUAUGGAUUUUUAAGGUAUACAAACUUAGAAUCACAAGUAAGAGUUCUUUCUCAGCGUCACAAGAUUGAUGGUCGUAAUUGUGAAGUCAAGGUUCCAAAGUCUAAGGAAGGUAAUGGUUCAGAGCUUUCCGGAAAAGUUUUUGUAGGUCGUGUGACAGAAGAUUUAACAGCUGAUGAUAUUCGUGAGUAUUUCAGCAAAUUUGGAGAAGUCAUCAAUGUUUUUGUACCAAAAAAUCCAUUCCGCGGAUUUGCAUUUGUAACUUUCCUUGAUCCUGAGGUAGCUGCUAGUUUAUGUGGUGAAGAUCAUAUCGUUAAAGACGUUUCAGUGCGUGUAUCUGAAGCCGCUCCAAAACCACAAGUUUCUAAAAAUCGUCAUCAAACUCCCCCACCUAGUGAACCUUGGGAGCGAUCUAAUAAUCGCCAUAAUGAUAGUUAUCGAAAUUGGUAUCACUCACAACAUGAUAAUCGGGGGAGUGUAGACAUGCCUAAUCUACAGUCAUUGGGGAUUAAUGGUCAAGACAGCUAUAACCCAAUGUUGCCUUUGAGUCCGGCUAUUGUUGCUGCUGCAUUAACGCAAGCUGCUGGAUGGAGUCUAGCUAAUGGUCGUAUGAUGCCGCCACCACCACCUCCUAGUGGAAACAAUCAAUGGUCUCAACAUGGUCUCAAUUCUCAACGAAAUAACUAUAAUAACAGGAAACGUUCUAAUAAUGAUUACAAUUCAUCAGGCAAUCGCUAAAAAAAGAUAAUGUAUCACUUGAAAAUUUUACCAAAUUUAUCUAACAGUCAAGUUUUAUCGAACAAAUGCAGGUUCAAUGAGAACUGGAAAAUAUGUUCAAGAUUUUAACAAGUUUUUUUUUUACAGGAAAUACUUUUGAAUUGAAAGAAUGGUUGUUACUUAAAAAUCUAUACAUAUAAUGUUUUCUAGAAGGAUAUAUUAUUCAUAGAGCAAUAACAAUAAAUGGUUCCUAGUGACAGACAUGUACAAGGUACUAGCAAACUGAUGUACUUAUUUGGAUUAUGAGCAAGACCAACUGGAUAAUUUUAUGAUACAGAAACAGUACAUAGCUAGAAUGAAAAAUUAAAUGUUUAGAAAGAUAUUAAACUGUAAAAGUAAUAUUUGUAUUUCAAUAUUGUUAGUAAUUGAGAGACAACAAGUAUAUAUUAUAUAAUUGUUUGACUUGUGUAUAAUUUAAAUUAUUUUCUCUAUUGUUUAAUCUAGAAGAUUCUACUGUGAAACUAAAUAUUACUGUAUCAUAUUUGAUGUAAACAGAUUAAGGCACUGUUGAAAUAAAUAAUUGAUUCACAAUAAAUACAUAAAUAAUUCAGUGGCUUACUAGAUAAUAUCUAUAUUGUAUUUAAUAAUUGUUUAUGA
RNA transcript from Rhopalosiphum maidis (corn leaf aphid), 2236 nucleotides. It is a transcript of the gene named TAR DNA-binding protein 43-like, with no coding region annotated. NCBI's taxonomy places the organism in Eukaryota, Metazoa, Arthropoda, Insecta, Hemiptera, Aphididae. The record is from RefSeq and is a predicted model, not a curated record. The transcript is spliced from 7 exons.